CAAAAAAGAAAAAGAAGAAAAAGAAAGGAAAGAAGAAGUAAACUGGCACUUAUUCGCUUUGAAAACUAGAAAAAGUUUAUCUUCCUCUUCUAAUUUCCAGUUUUUCUGGUGUGAUUUUUU
This 120-nucleotide non-coding RNA is filed under the name Asterionellopsis glacialis. Lineage: Eukaryota; Bacillariophyta; Plagiogrammaphyceae; Rhaphoneidales; Asterionellopsidaceae. The record is from RNAcentral.